CCUGGGAAGGCCUCGUGUUGCAACCC
This 26-nucleotide ribosomal RNA is filed under the name Cliffortia marginata. Lineage: Eukaryota; Viridiplantae; Streptophyta; Magnoliopsida; Rosales; Rosaceae. The record is from RNAcentral.